AGAGGAAUAGCUGGGUCAAAUGGUGGUUCCAUUCCCAAUUUUCCAAGAAAUCUCCAUACUGCUUUCCAUAUUGUCUGUGCCAAUUUGCAGCCCCAUCAGCAAU
This 103-nucleotide microRNA precursor is filed under the name Marmota monax (woodchuck). Lineage: Eukaryota; Metazoa; Chordata; Mammalia; Rodentia; Sciuridae. The record is from RNAcentral.